This 450-nucleotide ribosomal RNA is filed under the name uncultured bacterium. Its description in RNAcentral is "partial 16S ribosomal RNA". It matches the Rfam family "Bacterial small subunit ribosomal RNA", at positions 354 to 796 of the family's 1533-position model. The record is from RNAcentral.
GUGGGGAAUUUUGGACAAUGGGGGCAACCCUGAUCCAGCCAUUCCGCGUGAGUGAAGAAGGCCUUCGGGUUGUAAAGCUCUUUCGUCAGGAACGAAACGGCGGGCUCUAACAUAGCCUGUUAAUGACGGUACCUGAAGAAGAAGCACCGGCUAACUACGUGCCAGCAGCCGCGGUAAUACGUAGGGUGCGAGCGUUAAUCGGAAUUACUGGGCGUAAAGCGUGCGCAGGCGGAUUGUUAAGCAAGACGUGAAAUCCCCGGGCUUAACCUGGGAAUGGCGUUUUGAACUGGCAGUCUAGAGUGCGUCAGAGGGGGGUGGAAUUCCACGUGUAGCAGUGAAAUGCGUAGAGAUGUGGAGGAACACCGAUGGCGAAGGCAGCCCCCUGGGCCAACACUGACACUGAGGCACGAAAGCGUGGGGAGCAAACAGGAUUAGAUACCCUUGUAGUCC